This is a long non-coding RNA of Ahaetulla prasina, 11620 nucleotides long. RefSeq lists it as uncharacterized. The transcript is spliced from 3 exons. The record is from RefSeq and is a predicted model, not a curated record. Lineage: Eukaryota; Metazoa; Chordata; Lepidosauria; Squamata; Colubridae.
GCCACCUCCCAUCGCCCCAACACACACGCACACUUCGGUGUGGUCUCGCCUCCUCGAUCCGCAGAUACACACACGCACACACGCCCCGCGAUUAAGACACGAAAAAGGCUCCCUCGCCACUAUGAGAUGGUCCUGGCGGGCCAGUGCCGAAUUCACGUUAAGGCAAUAGUAGUAGUAGUCCAAUGGAAGAGCAGAGGUGCGAACGCGUCAGAUAAUGCCCGAUAACUUAAGAACGGUGUGUAAUAGAGAUAUCCCCCUGUAAAGGUAUAGCCGGCAAUAUGACUCGAAAGGAAGGGAAGGGAAGGGAAGGGAAAGGAAAGGAAGGAAGGAAGGAAGGAAGGAAGGAAGGAAGGAAGGAAGGAAGGAAGGAAGGAAGGAAGGAAGGAAGGAGAAAGAAAGAAAGAGAAAAAGAAAGGAAGGAAGGAAGGAAGGAAAGAGAAAAAGAAAAAUGAAAGGAAAGAAAGAAACAGAAAGGAAAAAGAAAGAAAGAAAAGAAAAGAAAGAAACAGAAAGAAAGAAAGAAAAAAGAAAAAGAAAGAAAGAAAAGAAAAGAAAAGUCUUGGAUAGGAAGGCAGGGAGGGAGGGUAUUUCAAAGCUUUUAAAGAAAUUCACAGGAGGAAAAAGUGCUGGAAAGUGUGAGACUAAAAGCCCAUUACAAGCGCCCACAACUGGAGUUCUUCUUUAGACACCUUGAAGAUUUCGGCGGUAAGAGUGUCUUCAUCCAGACGGCUAUUGAGGUCCCAGGUAAAGAUGCAGAGAAAGGUAUUUAAAUUGUUCACGCUACAUCGGAAAAAAGAGAAACUCUCAAAACAGUCGCCUCCCUCUGCAAGCAGCGCAUAAUAUAACGAGAUGCCCUCAAUGUCAUUUUAAUAAGCAUCACUUUCACGGGCAAACGUGUACGUGUGCGCCUUUCUGAGCGUUUUGUUCGCGACCUCAAUCAAACCCGGGAUCCGACUGUCUGCUUCAGAUAGUUCCCCCUCCCCCGCGUCUCUCUCCGUUUGCAUUCGUCGACAUUUGUUUCCUAUGGGGCGCCUUUAUUAUUAUUAUUAUUCUUUUCUUUUCUUUUCUUUUGCUGCUUUCUCGUUUUCCCAAAGAUAAUUCAUAACCAAGCGAAAUAUCAUUUCAGCUGUGCGCUGCGGUCACGGGUCUCCAGUUGGCGUCGGGUUGGAGCUAAAAAAAAUAAAAUAAAAUUAAUAACGGUCACGGGGCUGCCCUUCCUAUUGUUUUCUGGCGAACGGACUCUGCCGCUUUUUCUCCUGCUUUUCCAGCCCAGCAAGAAAACGCAGAAAGGGGGGGGGGCGAGAAAGAUGGAGGAGUCGGAGGGAGGAUGGGAGUCUCUUAUUCAACAGCGAGGCAAUAACAGCAGCUCAUUAAAUACAAUGCCAAGCAAAUGUCCGCCUGUGGAAGAGCAGCUGAAAGCUUUCCAACCCCUUGUUGGAAAUACCAUCUGUAUCCAGGAGUAGCAAAAGGGGGAUAUUUCUAAACAGCAAAGACAUCCCAUCACAGGGUGGACCAAGCAGCAUUUAACAACUAUGGGAUCACAGCAGGCAUGGACAAAAAAAUCCCAGCUUUCCUUUGUCAUGGCCCUGAGAAAAAUCUUGGUAAGAAUUUGUGGACAGAACAAAGAACAUCAUUAUGUUUUUAGCGUCAGGCAGAAGAUGGCUGACUCUAAGAAUUAGCAGGUAUUACGUGUAACCUGGAAAGAAACUGAUAACAUGGUAAAGAAAGAAACUUAGAAGCUUCUGGAAAAAUUGCCUGGGUGGAAAUGUUUUCUGGGAAAGCAGCUUGGAAAGUGAAUCUCUUCACCAUCACGCAAGAUGACUCUCAUUAAUCUCUCUGAUAAAACCUUCGGUUGAAAGUAGUUACCUAAGAAUAUGUCAAGGGGAGAUAAGAGUGCUUAGUAAUAAUUAUCAUGAAGAACAAGAAACCCACCUGAAAUUACAUUUUUCGCUAAGCUGGUGAUCUGAUGACAAGUAGAUGGUUGAAUGAAGUUAUUAAAUAUGUACAGGAGAGCAUUAUUAAUGGAUUGAGAAUACUGUAUUAAAUAUGUAGAGAUGUUUCAAACUAUGCAACAUUUGUUUGUACUGAUUAACUCUUACUGCAUUUUUCAACAUACAGCUGUAACUCAGCAACAUCUGUUCAUUCCUUUUGAAUAGCCUUCCCUACAGUGAGACAAUAGCCCUCUCCAUAAAUCUUUUUCAUUCAGUUUUAACCCAAAUCUAUUAUCCAUCCAUAUCUUUGGAUUUUUAUUCCACUGUGGGGAACAGUUCACAACUAUAAUAGAAUAUUCUGUUAUCAUACUGAGGUAUACUAUGUGAAGCAAAUUGAUGAUUAAAAAAACAAAAUAACUUACCCAUCUUCCACAGAAAUUUUCCCUUAGGUCCACAUUGCCAGAAUCAAAUAUAGGAUUUUUUAGGGGGAGGGAAGAAGUCAUGGAAGUAACAAAUCUUUGCCCCAAAAAGUGUCAUAGCAGCCAAUGACUGAUUGUGGGAGAAAAUUUUAGAUUAGUGGCAAGCUAUACACUUAGAAUCUUUUAGGUGAUCAGGUGUCAAAGCAGGAAGAAGAGUGUAAAACAGUUCCAUCAGGAUUUUCUGAGGACUGGGAAGCUAUUUAAAAUUAUUUUAGGAUUUGGGCUACAAUUUUUGACUCAGUGGCAAGAAGCCAUUGUUAAUUGUUAUGAGCUGUGAUCUGGAAAUCAUGAAAAAGGGGAAUUGUGAUUGCAGAAAUCAUGUUGCCAGUCCCUCCCUUAGAUGAAUCUCCUUCAACCUGUGGUCCUUAAUUAUGAUGGAAUUUGUUAGUUUGUUUUUUUAAAAAUAAAAUUUAUAUAGCUGCCUACUCGCUCACACAACUCUAAUACACAUCAUAGCAAUUAUUCUGCAAGCUGGAAUUGAUUGGGGUUAUAACUCAACACAUUUGGGGAAGGUUGCUGUGAAGAAAACCACAUCCUUUCAGAGGCCAUAUAAUGGCUUCUCUCUCUCUCUCUCUCUCUCUCAGAAGGGUGGCAUUUUAUGUUAAGAGGCGGAGGGCGGGGGAUCUCCGCAAGGUGAAUAUAUUUCAUAUCAGGUCACAGUCUUCUCAAACUGAAUGUUAAAUACUUAACAUUAUGUUCAAGGUAAAAGUGGGAAGGAAGGAAAAAGAUGGGAGAGAGGAGAGAAAGAGAGGCACUUUGGUGGUAUUUAUUGCACAUGCUUUGCAUAUCUAAUGGGAAGAAAUUUGCUAUUGUGUUCUUUUUUUAAUUCACAACUUUUGCUGCCUUCCUAGUUUAUUUCUGCUGGUGGUUUUGAAAGGCAUUUCUUAGAGAAAAAAAAUCAAUCAGGUAAAGUUGGAUUGUGAAUGUUGGGUAGAUACAGUUUGGACAAGGGAGAUGCAGGAAUUCAACAUCAGAUUUGCAUAAUAUAUCUUUCCUAAUCAAAUGUUAUCAUCUGUAUAAUUGUUUUUGAUCCCCUCCCUCUGCUGAAGGAUAUAAAGAGUGGUAAGAUUGCUGUUAUAUGCAUAUCAGUAUCAAUUUCAAUUUCUAUCUCAAAGAUAUAGUAGGAAAAUCACACAAACUUUUAACAGUUUUAUAUUUAUCCACAUUGUUUAUAUUAUUAUUUUUUAAAUACAUGCUGUAUAUCUCCACUAAGGCCUAUUAGUGCUCUGCCAAGAACAUAUAUCUAUAAUUACUGUAGAGAGAGAAAGAUAUUAUUUCUUGUGGGUGUGCUAUGAAAAGCUACUAAAUCUAUCGACUACUAUUUCCAGAAUGCAGCUGCACAUUUGACUUUCUCCUCUUUGAAAUGUUCCAAUUUUGGAGUUUGACAUACCCUGAUUUUGGAGUUUCCCAUUUCCUGAAAAGUGAACCACGACAGGAGGAGCUAACUAUUAUAGCCUCCUUGGUAAGUUCAAUAUGUCAAUAAGGAAUUAUUUUGCAAGAUUUCAAUUCCGCUCAUUUGACAAGGUAUAAUAUUUAACUGUAAAGUCAUACUCAAGUUGACUCCCCAUUCAACUGAAGUGCAAAAAGAAAAUCUUGGGCUAAUCCAAGUCUCAGCGUAGCCUGUUUUCCAAGUUAUUCUAAAGAUUAAACAGCGGUAUUGUGACUGUAUCCCAUAUGCCUGUUGACAAAUUCACACAUAUCCAAGUGCUUCCCUUUGUCAGAGAUACUGUACAAAGGGUUUAGUUUUUUAAGAACAAAGCAUGAGUGAACUUGGGAAAAGCCUAGGCAAAAUUGGGAGUUCAUCUUCUUAUCAGGUAAAGGUUUCCCUGUCCAGUGGUGUCUGUCCUAGGGCCGUGCUAGGGUGUUGUACUCAUCUCUGUUUCUUGGCCAAGGGAGCCAGCGUUGAGUGUGAAGACAUUUUCCAUGGUCAUGUGGCCAGCAUGGCUAUACGCCAAAGGUGCAUGGAAUGCUGUUACCUUCCCACCGAAGUGCUACUUAUUAAUUUACUCACAGUUGCAUCAGUGGUGGGUUUCAAAUUUUUUUACUAUCGGUUCUGUGGGUGUGGCUUGGUGGGCGUGGCAUGGCUUGGUGGGCGUGGCAGAGAAAAGAUACUGUAAAAUCUCCAUUCCCACCCCACUCCAGGGGAAGGUUACUGCAAAAGCCCCAUUUUCUCCCAAUCAACUGGGACUCCAGAGGCAGAGAACAGAUAUGGGCGGGGCCAGUCAGAAUUUUUAUUACCGGUUCUCUUAACUACUCAAAAUUCCCGCUACUGGUUCUCCAGAACUGGUCAGAACCUGCUGAAACCUACUUCUGAGUUGCAUGUUUUAAACUGCUAGGUGGGCAUUAGCUGGAGCAGGAACAGGAGCUCUUCCCAUUGCGUAACACUUGGGUCUCAAACCUGGGCUUCCAGCUUUCCAUCUUCUUAGCAGCCUGAGUAAUCAGGAGCUGCCCCAUAAAUCUGAAGAAAGUCCAGGAAAAUGAAGUACACGAAUUCUUGCUUUAGAUUUUCUAUAUAGAGAGCAAAAGGUCUAGCUAGAAAAUUCAUUAUACUUUUUCUUACUGUGCUGUACAAUAUUAGAAAAACUGCAGAUGUCUCGUCAUCCUUGCAAUCUAUUCUUUGAGUUGAGCAUAACGACAUUAUUUUAUUUAUAAACUUAUCAGCUGUAAUAAGUUGAACUCCCUGCAGGAUGUUUUUCAGAAUUAUGCUGGAUAAAUUCUUAUUUGAAGCAAACCAUUCUGUGUUGGGUAAGAGAACAUGCUAUGUACUUCUUUAAAUUUCUUUUAAAGUAAAAUUAUUUUCAUCUACCUUAUUUAUUUUUUUUUAAAAACCUAAACAUGGAUUUGGUUUACCGUAUAUACUCGAGUAUAAGCCGAGUUUUUCAGCACGUUUUUUGUGCUGAAAAACGUCCCCUCGGCUUAUACUCGGGUCUAUACGGCUUAUACUCGAGUUUGUUUUUUUUUUAAAGCCCCUCGGCUUAUACUCGAGUAUAUACGGCUUAUACUCGAGUUUUUGUUUUUUUUUUCACAUUUUACCGGACGGCGCGGGGAAGCCCUGCCGGUGCAGUGAGAGGGCGGGGCGGGGGAGCCGCCAGCCUUCUCAGCUGAGGGAGGGAGGGUUUCCCCAACCGGUAGGUGCCUCAUUUCCCACCCUCGGCUUAUACUCGAGUCCCCAGUUUACCCCCGUUUUUGGGGUAAAAUUGGGGACCUCGGCUUAUACUCGGAUCGGCUUAUAUUCGAGUAUAUACGGUAUUCCUUAUGUGAUUGGUCUGAUCUUUCAAGGAAAGGCAAAAACUUCUAACUGUGCACCUUUUAAGUUACAUUGCCAAGAUAUUCCAUUAUUCUACCAAUUACUUCAUUUCGCUUACAUUUUCUACUUGUGAAGCACCAGUCAUCUUUUUCAUAGACCAGAAUUAAGGAAAAAAAUGCCAAAUGAUGUGUUACUUGGAAGAUAGGUGGAGGCAGAAGGAAUUAUUAGGCUUCAAAGCAGUAACCCUGAAGCAGAGAAGAGGACCAGAUGUUAAAAUUCAGAGGACGUCUGGGUAGAAGUCUUAAAAACCUCCAAUAUUUUACUUUAUAGGAUUAACCACUUCUCUGUAGGAGAUGGGAGAAAAGGUAUCUUCUGGUUUAAAUUAAUUAAUGGAAAAAUGGAAAUAUGUAUAUUCCAUUUUCCCACAAUUUAAUAUUUAUUUAUUUAUUUAUUUAUUUAUUUGAAUAAAUAAAUAAAUAUGUCUAACAUUUCAGAAUUCUUCUCACUGAUUAGUUCCCUGUGAUAUUAAAUGACAACUUUUUUCAAUGGUCAAAAUUAACAAAUAGCUGGAAUGAGUUAGCAGUGACAUCUGGUGUUAGCAAUAGGCUUAUGCAGCGAUCUCUCCAAGGGAAUGCAUUAUUUCUUCUGACGGCUGAUGGGAAGCAACUAGAGAGAAUAAAAUGCUGAAAAAUUCACAAGCAUUAAACUGAAUAGUAAAUGUUUAUCCACUUUAUUAUAGGUAGUUGGUAAGAAGAAAAAUAAAAGUUAUAAUAUUGUCCACAUCUCAAAAUACAUUUUUCUUAAAACUUAAAAAAAAUACAAAAACCAAAGGGAUACUGCUUUGAUGAUGAUAUCCUCAAUUGUCUUUCUCUUCCAAGAAAAUGAGUGAUGUUCUCUUAUUUGAACAGUCACAAGUUUAUUUGUGCAGGAUCAGAACUCUGAAAUCUAUUUCUGUUUCGUCGUAGAAAACUAAUUCAUGCAGUUUCUCUAGUGCUUCAACGAGCAAGUUAACAAAUAAAACAACUGUGAGAAAGAAAAAGCAUUACUUUCCUGCCAAAUGUUCCCCCCUCACCACCCCAGCCACUGGCCACAAAGCACAGCAAUGAAAAUCAGGUUCAGGUAACUUCAAAGGGUUAAGUUCAGGUGGGACCGUGGUUCAAGCCAUCCAAAGAGGGUCUGAUUGGGAUUAUCUAUCAUAAAAACAUCCACAGAAUAUUUUUUUUAAAUUCUCAAGUAAACAAUAUUGAUAGAUGCAAAGUUGAUGUAAUACUCUUAAUUAAUUUAGUUAGCUUAGCUUACGGAGCUCUGCUUUCGUCUAGAUCAGCCUUUCUCAAACUUUUCACCCUCAAAAGUAAAUUUCAACUCUCAGGGAACCUCUGCUUAACAAUUAUUGUAUCUACAAUUCAUGAUAUGUCAAGCAUCAAAACACAGGCUGUUUUCUGUCAUGAUUUCUUGCACAACUCUAGGCUGAUCCAGAACCUCACCAUUAAAAAUAAAAAAAAAGUUUUUUUGCAAUACCGAGGCUUCUGAGAGUCCAUUCUCAUCUAUUGAUCGUUCAUAGAUAGAAAGAAAAAGAUAUUUUCCCCAGCCCUUUCCACAAAGAGAAGAUUGGUAAUUGCCUAGGGAAACAUAGUGUAGCUUUAAGUUCAAAAGACAGCUGAAGGCUGCUUUACAAUCCUUAAAUUCACCUUCCAUCAGCUACUUUGCAGAGUUUUAUCCAGUGGAACUUGUUCUUUCUGUCUUAUUUUGAUUUUGCCAAACAGUGAAAAAAUUUGAAGGGGUGCAAUCCCAACAAAGCUUUAUUAUUAUUUCUUUUGAUUUUGUUGCAAGUCCGAGAAUGGAGAAACUUAUUUUCUUUACACUAAAUAAAAAUAGCACAGUAGCUGACCAAGAUACAAUGUAGAACUUACUGCAGCUUUUUCAGACAGACAGACAGACAGACAGACACACACACACACACACACACACACACACACACAAAAUCAAGGUCACGUGAAGGAUUAGUGCCACUUUACAAAACCCUAGUAAGACCACAGCUGGAAUACGGCAACAAAUUUUGGUCACCAUACUACAAAAAAGAUGUUGAGGCUUUGGAAAAAGUUCAGAGAAGAGCAACUAAGAUGAUCAAAGGCCUGGAGACUAGACCAUAUGAAGAACGGCUGCAGGUUUUGGGGCUGGCUAGUCUAAAGGAAAGAAGAAUUAGGGGUGACACGAGAGGCUGUCAUAAAGAAAAGGGAGUCAAAUUAUUCUCCAAUGCGCCAGAGGGCAGGACAAAAAAUAAUGGUUGGAAACUAAUCAAAGAGAGAAGUAACCUGGAAUUAAGGAGAAACUUCCUAACAGUGAGGACAAUUAACCAGGGGAACAGCUUGCCUUCAGAAAUCGUGGUCGCUCCAUCACUGGAGGUUUUUAAGGAGAGACUGGACAGUCACUUGUCUGAAAUAGUAUAGGUUCUCCUGCUUGAGCAGGGAGCUGGACUAGAAGACCUCCAAGGUCCCUUCCAGUUCUAUUCUAUUCUGUUCUGUUCUGUCCUGUCCUGUCCUGUUCUGUCCCGUCCUAUGAUAGAUAGAUGAUAGAUAGAUAGAUGAUAUAUAUAUUCAGUUCUACAGAGGAAUUAUUGAGUCUGUCAUUUGCACCUCUAUAACUGUCUGGUUCGGUUCUGCAACCCAACAAGAAAAACACAGACUUCAGAGGAUAAUUAGAACUGCAGAAAAACCAAUUGUUACCAACCUGCCUUCCAUUGAGGACCUGUAUACUGCACGAAUCAAGAAGAGGGCCGUGAAAAUAUUUGCAGAUCCCUCGCAUCCUGGACAUAAACUGUUUCAACUCCUACCCUCAAAACGACGCUAUAGAGCACUGCACACCAGAACUAGACACAAGAACAGUUUUUUCCCGAAGGCCAUCACUCUGCUAAACAAAUAAUUCCAUCAACACUGUCAAACUAUGUACUGAAUCUGCACUACUAUUAAUCGUCUCAUAGUUCCCAUCACCAAUCUCUUUCCACUUAUGACUGUAUGACUAUAACUUGUUGCUGGCAAUCCUUAUGAUUUAUAUUGAUAUAUUGACCAUCAAUUGUGUUGUAAAUGUUGUACCUUGAUGAAGGUAUCUUUUCUUUUAUGUACACUGAGAGCAUAUGCACCAAGACAAAUUCCUUGUGUGUCCAAUCACACUUGGCCAAUAAAAUUCUAUUCUAUAAAAAUUCUAUUCUACCUGUAUAUAUAAAGGUAGAGAGGUAGAUAGAUGGAUAGAUAGACAGACAGACAGACAAACAGACAGAUAGAUAGAUAGAUAUAGAGGUAGAUAGAUAAAUUGAGUGAGUGAGUGAGUGAGUGAGUGAGUGAGUGAAUGAGUGAGUGAGCUUUUGAGCAUUGACUCCUGGUGACUGGGUGAAGUAGUCUCUGCAAUUUUCUUAGCAAGAUUUUUGGAAAUAGCUUACCAUUGCCUCCUUCUUAGGGCUGUGCUAGAGUGACUGGCUCACAUUCACUUAGCUAUUGUUAUCUCACAGCUCUUGCUUUUUCUUGUAUUUUUGAUGAUUUUUCAAUCAUUUUCUAGCACUCCAGCCCCUGAAUUCCCAUAGGCUAAUUUUCUUCAUUGUUGACAGCUAGAACUUUUACCCCCAUAAAUAACAUAGUCUAAUAUUCAGUUGUGAAGAAAACAGAGAGGAACGGAGGUUAAGAUCUAAAAGUUCCCCCUAAUAGAAGCUCUGAACAUCUAUAUAUUUAAUUGGAGACAAUAAAGGGAAAACUCAUUAUAUUUUUAUAGGCGUUAAUUAUUUCUCUUCCUUUUUCUUUCCCUGCUGUUUACCACUGCCUCUAAAUUCACACUGGUAUGAAUUGUUCGUUUUUGUUUCCAAGUGCAGAAUUAAGCAGGGAGAUGGUAGGAGUUGAACCAGAUAAAUCCAGCUGAGAACAAAAUAUAUACAACCUCACAUACAGGUUGUACUUUAUGUUGCAAUAUCACAGAAGCUAAUAGAUUCCAAAAGGAUUGUAAAGGAAAACCCGGAGGGAGGGAAUUGUAAAUACAUACAUUCCAAAUGUGUCUCUUUAAAUAAAUGACUGGCAGUCUGGUAAACAAGCAUUUUUACUACAUAAAACAACACAUGCACAAACUUUAAAAAAAAAGCAUGUUCAUGGCACACUGCUACUAUUUUGAGAUAAUUCUUCAGUGGAGAAUUACUUGUUUAUUUUGUCGUCUUUUGCAGAGUAUGAUGAGUGACAGGGACAAUAUAACUGACAUAUAUAAAAAGAAGACUAAAUGUAAGAACAAGCAUUGCUUUCUCUCUUACUUUUCCUCUACAUAUGUGCUUUUCUAUCAUUUUCUCUUUGAUCUUGUUUUAUUAACUUUUUAAAGAGCCUUUUAUAUUUAAAUUGGUUGUUUUUGAAUGGUGUUUAUGUGUUUGGAUUUUAUUAUGUAUGGUACCCAGAGUUACUAUAACAACUCUAGGUACUGUACAUAGAUGUGGAGCUAAAUAAAUGUGAUUAAAUAAUUUCUUCCAUGUUGAAAAAAAAAAAUAUGGAGCGUAUUCUAGAUCUGGGGUCUCCAACCUUGGCAACUUUAAGCCUGGAGAACUUCAACUCUCAGAAUUCAAGUUGAAGUCCGCCAGGCUUAGUUGCCAAGGUUGGAGACCCCUGUUCUAGAUGGCUACAGUUCACUGAAGCCUUAGAGAAAUUAACUUAAAGUAUGUAUCAAACAUCUCUUACCCUUCAUCUUUUAUAACUUCCAGAUCAAAGUUUUGGGAAAGUAGUUCUACAAAAGGAGAAAUCACGGAGAAACAAAGUCUCUUUCAGAGAACUACCUAUCUUUCUUAUUCCACCCUUUUAAAAUUGCUGAUUUUUGGUAAGGACUUUCAAAUUUCAGAAUACAGGUAGUCUUCAAUUUACGACCACAAUUGAGCUUAUAAUUUAUGUUGUUAAGUGAGACAUUUGUUAAGUGAGUUUUGCCCCAUUUUAUGACCUUUCUUGCCACAGCUGUUAAGGAGACCAUUGCAGUUGUUACAUUAGUAGCACAGUUGUUAAGUAAAUCUGGCUUCCCCGUUGAUUUUGCUGGUCAGAAGGUUGCAAAAGCUGUUUGCGUGACCCCAGGACAUAACUAUGCAACCGUCAUAAAUAUGAACCACUUGCCAAGCAUCCAAAUUUUGAUUACAGAACCAUAGGGUUGCGGCAAUGGUUGUUAGUGUAAAAAAUGGUCAUAAGUCACUUUUUUCAGUGCCAUUGUCACUAAAUGAACUAUUGUUAAGUCGAGGACAACCUGUAUGCUACGUUCAUGGUGAACAAUAAAUCCAAAAUACAGAUGAAUAUUAUUUUUUUGUAGUCGGGAUGAAGACAUUGAGACAGAAAUUCAGGCAGUCCUUGAGAUACAACCACAAUUGGGACUGGCAUUUCAAUUGCUAGGUGAUGCAAUCAUAAAAGCAAGAUGUCAUAUGACCAGAUAACUUAACAAUCCCAGCAAUCCCUUAGGUCAUUAAGUGAAUUUUACCACUUGUUAGCAGAAUCUCAGCACAAUCCAAGCCAUUCUGGGCUUGGUCCCUCUCAGCCCUGAAUCCCAGUAACUUUUUCCACCCGUCUCUCUCCCCCCACCACCCGCCAAUUUCUCUGUCUAUUUGGCCGCAUUCCAACCUACCUUCUGGGCAGCAAGCAGCCCAGAACUGCACGGCUCUAUGGCUGCUUGUCACCGUCCGGGAAACCACCAAAGCCCACCACACAGAACUGGCCUUCACUACCUUCUUGCUCCUGCUGCUGACAAGGCAUGCCCAGCCUGGCUGCCAUCCAGAUUGGGGGCUGGGCUUUGUGUUGAGCUGCGGCUCAGGGGUUGCUUUUUGCACCAAAAGCAUUCCUUUGCACCAUACUCUUGAUUGAAUCAGUACUGGCUUUAUGAUGGCAAAAAAAAAUAAAAAAAAAUCCUAAAAGCAGCCUGAACUGAGUCAUGCAAAAACACCUCUUUGCAAAUAACUCUUGGACUAGACUGGG